CAGCCGCCGCGGUAAUGCGUAGGGGGCAAGCGUUGUCCGGAAUUAUUGGGCGUAAAGCGCGCGCAGGCGGUUUUUUAAGUCUGGUGUCUAAGUGCGGGGCUCAACCCCGUGACGCACUGGAAACUGGGAGACUUGAGUGCAGAAGAGGAGAGCGGAAUUCCACGUGUAGCGGUGAAAUGCGUAGAGAUGUGGAGGAACACCUGUGGCGAAAGCGGCUCACUGGACCAUUUCUGACGCUGAUGCACGAAAGCUAGGGGAGCAAACAGGAUUAGAUACCCCGGUAGUCCCUGUCUCUUAUACA
RNAcentral lists this ribosomal RNA (301 nucleotides) under uncultured bacterium. RNAcentral describes it as "partial 16S ribosomal RNA". It matches the Rfam family "Bacterial small subunit ribosomal RNA", at positions 509 to 808 of the family's 1533-position model. The record is from RNAcentral.